Molecule: transfer RNA, 71 nt
Filed under: Heterocephalus glaber (naked mole-rat)
Lineage: Eukaryota; Metazoa; Chordata; Mammalia; Rodentia; Bathyergidae
Rfam family: tRNA
About the family: Transfer RNA (tRNA) molecules are approximately 80 nucleotides in length. Their secondary structure includes four short double-helical elements and three loops (D, anti-codon, and T loops).
Source: Rfam by way of RNAcentral
GGGGUGUAGCUCAGUGGUAGAGCACUUGCUUAGCAUUCAGGAAGCCUAAGGUUCCAUCCCCAGCACUACCA